GAUGAACGCUGGCGGCGUGCCUAAUACAUGCAAGUCGAGCGAACAGACGAGGAGCUUGCUCCUCUGACGUUAGCGGCGGACGGGUGAGUAACACGUGGAUAACCUACCUAUAAGACUGGGAUAAUUUCGGAAAACCGGAGCUAAUACCGGAUAAUAUAUUGAACCGCAUGGUUCAUUAGUGAAAGACGGUUUUGCUGUCACUUUUAGAUGGAUCCGCGCCGCAUUAGCUAGUUGGUAAGGUAACGGCUAACCAAGGCAACGAUGCGUAGCCGACCUGAGAGGGUGAUCGGCCACACUGGAACUGAGACACGGUCCAGACUCCUACGGGAGGCAGCAGUAGGGAAUCUUCCGCAAUGGGCGAAAGCCUGACGGAGCAACGCCGCGUGAGUGAUGAAGGUCUUCGGAUCGUAAAACUCUGUUAUUAGGGAAGAACAAAUGUGUAAGUAACUAUGCACGUCUUGACGGUACCUAAUCAGAAAGCCACGGCUAACUACGUG
This 497-nucleotide ribosomal RNA is filed under the name uncultured bacterium. RNAcentral's name for it is "partial 16S ribosomal RNA". It matches the Rfam family "Bacterial small subunit ribosomal RNA", at positions 28 to 507 of the family's 1533-position model. The record is from RNAcentral.